This 321-nucleotide ribosomal RNA is filed under the name uncultured bacterium. RNAcentral's name for it is "bacterial SSU rRNA". It matches the Rfam family "Bacterial small subunit ribosomal RNA", at positions 29 to 376 of the family's 1533-position model. The record is from RNAcentral.
AGCGAACGCUGGCGGCAGGCUUAACACAUGCAAGUCGAGCGCCCGUAGCAAUACGGGAGCGGCAGACGGGAGAGUAACACGUGGGAACAUGCCCUUCGGUUCGGAAUAACUCAGGGAAACUUGAGCUAAUACCGGAUACGUCCGUAAGGAGAAAGAUUUAUCGCCGAAGGAUUGGCCCGCGUCCGAUUAGCUUGUUGGUGAGGUAAUGGCUCACCAAGGCGACGAUCGGAGCUGGUCUGAGAGGAUGAUCAGCCUCACUGGGACUGAGACACGGCCCAGACUCCUACGGGAGGCAGCAGCAAGGAAUUUUCCGCAAUGGGC